RNAcentral lists this ribosomal RNA (449 nucleotides) under uncultured bacterium. Its description in RNAcentral is "partial 16S ribosomal RNA". It matches the Rfam family "Bacterial small subunit ribosomal RNA", at positions 29 to 523 of the family's 1533-position model. The record is from RNAcentral.
AGCGAACGCUGGCGGCAGGCCUAACACAUGCAAGUCGAACGAAGUCUUCGGACUUAGUGGCGGACGGGUGAGUAACACGUGGGAACGUGCCUUUAGGUUCGGAAUAACUCAGGGAAACUUGUGCUAAUACCGAAUGUGCCCUUCGGGGGAAAGAUUUAUCGCCUUUAGAGCGGCCCGCGUCUGAUUAGCUAGUUGGUGAGGUAAAGGCUCACCAAGGCGACGAUCAGGAGCUGGUCUGAGAGGAUGAUAAGCCACAUUGGGACUGAGACACGGCCCAAACUCCUACGGGAGGCAGCAGUGGGGAAUCUUGCGCAAUGGGCGAAAGCCUGACGGAGCCAUGCCGCGUGAAUGAUGAAGGUCUUAGGAUUGUAAAAUCCUUUCACCGGGGACGAUAAUGACGGUACCCGGAGAAGAAGCCCCGGCUAACUUCGUGCCAGCCGCCGCGGUAA